This 406-nucleotide ribosomal RNA is filed under the name uncultured bacterium. RNAcentral describes it as "partial 16S ribosomal RNA". It matches the Rfam family "Bacterial small subunit ribosomal RNA", at positions 30 to 526 of the family's 1533-position model. The record is from RNAcentral.
AUUGAACGCUGGCGGCAUGCUUUACACAUGCAAGUCGAGCGAGUGGCGAACGGGUGAGUAACGCAGGGGAACGUACCAUGUAAUGGGGGAUAACUGUGCGAAGGGAGCGCUAAUACCGCAUAUUAUGCGGGCGGCCGAUGUUAGAUUCGCUGGUUGGCGGGGUAAAGGCCCACCAAGGCGACGAUCAGUAGCGGGUCUGAGAGGAUGAUCCGCCACACUGGGACUGAGACACGGCCCAGACUCCUACGGGAGGCAGCAGUGGGGAAUUUUGGACAAUGGGCGCAAGCCUGAUCCAGCCAUGCCGCGUGUCUGAAGAAGGCCUUCGGGUUGUAAAGGACUUUUGUCAGGGAAGCGGUACCUGAAGAAUAAGCACCGGCUAACUACGUGCCAGCAGCCGCGGUAAUAC